UACAGAGGGUGCGAGCGUUAAUCGGAAUUACUGGGCGUAAAGCGCACGUAGGUGGCUAUGUAAGUCGGGUGUGAAAUCCCCGGGCUCAACCUGGGAACUGCAUUCGAGACUGCAUGGCUGGAGUACGGAAGAGGAGGGCGGAAUUCCCGGUGUAGCGGUGAAAUGCGCAGAUAUCAGGAGGAACACCGGUGGCGAAGGCGGAUCUCUGGGCCUUACCUGACGCUCAGGCACGAAAGCUAGGGGAGCGAACAGG
Molecule: ribosomal RNA, 253 nt
Filed under: uncultured bacterium
Lineage: Bacteria
Description: partial 16S ribosomal RNA
Rfam family: Bacterial small subunit ribosomal RNA
Source: RNAcentral